Molecule: ribosomal RNA, 404 nt
Filed under: Actinomycetes bacterium
Lineage: Bacteria; Bacillati; Actinomycetota; Actinomycetes
Description: Actinobacteria bacterium partial 16S ribosomal RNA
Rfam family: Bacterial small subunit ribosomal RNA
Source: RNAcentral
UGGGGAAUAUUGGACAAUGGGCGCAAGCCUGAUCCAGCCAUGCCGCGUGAGUGAUGAAGGCCCUAGGGUUGUAAAGCUCUUUCACCGGUGAAGAUAAUGACGGUAACCGGAGAAGAAGCCCCGGCUAACUUCGUGCCAGCAGCCGCGGUAAUACGAAGGGGGCUAGCGUUGUUCGGAUUUACUGGGCGUAAAGCGCACGUAGGCGGACUUUUAAGUCAGGGGUGAAAUCCCGGGGCUCAACCCCGGAACUGCCUUUGAUACUGGAAGGCUUGAGUAUGGUAGAGGUGAGUGGAAUUCCGAGUGUAGAGGUGAAAUUCGUAGAUAUUCGGAGGAAAACCAGUGGCGAAGGCGGCUCACUGGACCAUUACUGACGCUGAGGUGCGAAAGCGUGGGGAGCAAACAGG